GGAAUCUUGGACAAUGGGCGCAAGCCUGAUCCAGCCAUGCCGCGUGGAUGAUGAAGGCCCUAGGGUUGUAAAAUCCUUUCAGCGGGGCCGAUAAUGACGGUACCCGCAGAAGAAGCUCCGGCUACCUUCGUGCCAGCAGCCGCGGUAAUACGAAGGGGGCUAGCGUUGUUCGGAUUUACUGGGCGUAAAGCGCGUGUAGGCGGGCUGGAAAGUUGGGGGUGAAAUCCCGAGGCUCAACCUCGGAACUGCCUCCAAAACUUCCAGCCUGGACUCAAGCAGAGGCAAGUGGAAUUGCGAGUGUAGAGGUGAAAUUCGUAGAUAUUCGCAGGAACACCAGUGGCGAAGGCGACUUGCUGGGCUUGUAGUGACGCUGAGGCACGAAAGCAUGGGUAGCGAAC
RNAcentral lists this ribosomal RNA (398 nucleotides) under uncultured bacterium. RNAcentral's name for it is "bacterial SSU rRNA". It matches the Rfam family "Bacterial small subunit ribosomal RNA", at positions 358 to 773 of the family's 1533-position model. The record is from RNAcentral.